GCCGACACAGGACUGUUUUGUAAAAAGUUUAUAAGAAAACGUACAUUUGAAAAAUAUAUGCCCCUGUACUGAGGACGGCGAGUUCCCACGGAAUCUGGUAAAAGCUGUGAAUUUUAUUCAUUAUAUGGAUGUUGGUCACAAUGAGGAGAUGGCCAAAGUAAACAACGCUUCGGAUUACAUCCAGUCUUAUGAAUACUACUACGACUAUGUGGAUUUCGUUUCCUUUGAUGGAAAUGAGCUGAAAGCUAAUAAAUAUUCGAUCGUUAUUGCUUUUUGGGUUGGUCUAGCAGUUUUUGUGGCGUUUUUAUUCCUUAUUUUGCUGUACAUGUCCAGAACCUUCUCAGCACGAGCAAAUCAAUACAGGUACACAGCCAGAGCUAACUUGAGACAGACACAUGAAGUAGAAAACGGAGAUGAUUGAGAGGAUAGCGAUGAUGGAAACCAUCAGAGGCUCUCAAGGUUUUGGAGCCUUUUAGAGAAACACUGGAAAUUCAAGCUUUAAAACCCAUUAAUGUUUACAAGACAAAGGACGGCGUACAGAACAUCUCCCGGACGUCCCUCCGUCCCGACCACACUCCGAGGAAGAUAAGAGAAGAU
This is a long non-coding RNA of Spea bombifrons (plains spadefoot toad), 597 nucleotides long. RefSeq lists it as uncharacterized. The record is from RefSeq and is a predicted model, not a curated record. The transcript has 4 exons. NCBI's taxonomy places the organism in Eukaryota, Metazoa, Chordata, Amphibia, Anura, Pelobatidae.